ACUUUGAAACACCAGUUCCCAUCCGAUCAUCAAAGUUAAGCAAUGUCAAGGCUAAUCAGUACCUAAAUCGGUAACCGCUUUGGAAUACCAGUUGCUGUAAG
This is a non-coding RNA of Acanthosepion pharaonis, 101 nucleotides long. The record is from the annotation of a GenBank genome assembly. NCBI's taxonomy places the organism in Eukaryota, Metazoa, Mollusca, Cephalopoda, Sepiida, Sepiidae.